GGAAAGGAAUAGCAGCUCAUCUCAGAAGUCCUCCAAAGCAGUAAAGAGGCUAGAAUUGAUAUAAUCAUUAUCCACCAAGCUCACCAAGUAAUAGCUGCUCUGUAUCUCUUCGAGCAAUUUUCGCGACGGAUCGCCCUCGGGAUACAAGGAAGCCCAUCCCCUUGACCAAAGCUCAAACGCCUCAUCUUUCCACACGAGAAAGCUGGUAGGGUCAACAACGGUUGGCUGGAUGAUCUCUUUGGCUGGGAAAACUCCCCAUGUUACAGCAUUCACAUCCUUUUGAGUGAUGUUGGAUACCCAAAUGCCUUCCUUAU
RNAcentral lists this unclassified non-coding RNA (314 nucleotides) under Hevea brasiliensis (rubber tree). Lineage: Eukaryota; Viridiplantae; Streptophyta; Magnoliopsida; Malpighiales; Euphorbiaceae. The record is from RNAcentral.